RNAcentral lists this ribosomal RNA (695 nucleotides) under uncultured bacterium. RNAcentral describes it as "bacterial SSU rRNA". It matches the Rfam family "Bacterial small subunit ribosomal RNA", at positions 89 to 782 of the family's 1533-position model. The record is from RNAcentral.
UGGCGACCGGCGAACGGGUGAGUAACGCGUACGCAACUUACCUCCAAGCAAGGGAUAGCCCUGGGAAACUGGGAUUAAUACCUUAUGUGGUUACAAGAUGGCAUCAUCUAAUAACUAAAGUUUUGGCGCUUGGAGAUAGGCGUGCGUCCUAUUAGCUAGUUGGUAAGGUAGAGGCUUACCAAGGCUACGAUAGGUAGGGGGCGUGAGAGCGUGAUCCCCCACACGGGUACUGAGACACGGACCCGACUCCUACGGGAGGCAGCAGUAAGGAAUAUUGGACAAUGGGCGCAAGCCUGAUCCAGCCAUCCCGCGUGCAGGAUGACGGCCCUCUGGGUUGUAAACUGCUUUUAUAUGGGAAGAAACGUGCCGAUUUAUCGGCACCUGACGGUACCAUACGAAUAAGCACCGGCUAAUUCCGUGCCAGCAGCCGCGGUAAUACGGAAGGUGCAAGCGUUAUCCGGAAUCACUGGGUUUAAAGGGUGCGUAGGCGGGCUAAUAAGUCAGAGGUGAAAGCUCACCGCUUAACGGUGGAAUUGCCUUUGAUACUGUUGGUCUUGAAUUAGGUUGAGGUUGGCGGAAUGUGACAUGUAGCGGUGAAAUGCAUAGAUAUGUCAUAGAACACCAAUUGCGAAGGCAGCUGGCUAGACCUAUAUUGACGCUGAGGCACGAAAGCGUGGGGAGCGAACAGGAUUAGA